RNAcentral lists this long non-coding RNA (722 nucleotides) under Heterocephalus glaber (naked mole-rat). Its description in RNAcentral is "lncRNA (ENSHGLG00000042287.1)". The record is from RNAcentral. Lineage: Eukaryota; Metazoa; Chordata; Mammalia; Rodentia; Bathyergidae.
UCCAACCAGAGAUCUGUGACCUGCUGCCUCCAGGAUAGCGGAGGAAAUGCCACACCGGCCACCUACGUCCUGCUGUGAAACUAAGAUAAACACCACCUCUCAAGAACCUCAACAAGAAUAAAAAAGUGGUUCCGCUUCCUGAAAAAGAACAAUAUGACAUUCUAGAGGAAAAAAAUAUACCUGUAUUACAAGAAACUCCAGUAGAAAUAGAAGCCCAAAGAUGAACACCAGUGGAACAGCAAACACAAGAACAGUCAGGAGAAAAAGGGCAAAGACUUGAGUCACCAGAAUCUCCCGAACCAUUGUCCUCUGAAAAUCCAUCUCAAGAGCAAAGCUCCAGAACACCAGAAUCUCUUGGACAAUUACCCUUGGAAGAACCUCUCCAGGAACAAAGUCCUGAGCAGCAGGAGUCCCCUGAACCAUUAUCCUUGGGACAGUGAACUUAGACACGGAUGACUCAGGGACGAUAAGAACAACAAAUACCACGAAAACAGAAUAUCAGCUGUGUUGUGAGGAGCAACCUUCUAAAGUUGAAAAGGAUCACAAGACAAAUGAAAAUAAAAUCGUAUACUUUUUUCACAUUAAACUGAAGAGCCGGCCCGGGAGUAGAAACCAACACAUCAACCCAAGCACCGUUCUGUGUACUCGACGUCAGCUUUUCUUCAACCGCGGGGCUCCAUCUCGCACACGGACAUUUUCACAGCAGCAAAACCGUGUUGGCG